Molecule: small nucleolar RNA, 336 nt
Organism: Myotis lucifugus (little brown bat)
Lineage: Eukaryota; Metazoa; Chordata; Mammalia; Chiroptera; Vespertilionidae
Gene: SCARNA7
Product: small Cajal body-specific RNA 7
Source: Ensembl
UGGAAAUGAUGAAAUAAAGAUAAUCGGGUGUUGAAUGUUGUAUGAAUGGAAAUUUUUAAUAUGUAAGUUAAGUAAUGUAAGUUUAAUAUUUUAUAGAUAAUUAAUAGAAAGCGUGUGUGCGUGUGUGUGUGUGUGUGUGCGCUCGUGGAGGCUAUGGAAAGGGGGCACUGACUGGUGAUGCUGAUAUUGGAGUGCAUCUGAGGCUGUUGUAGAAACAUAUGGGUUGUUGAUUACAACAUUGCUGAUGAUUAUGACCCAAAAACAGCUCACCUAAGUAGCCUAACACCCUAAAAUCUUUAACAGGUUCAUUAAAUGUGUUCCUGUGAUCUGAUCCAA